RNAcentral lists this ribosomal RNA (119 nucleotides) under Atractiella solani. Lineage: Eukaryota; Fungi; Basidiomycota; Atractiellomycetes; Atractiellales; Hoehnelomycetaceae. The record is from RNAcentral.
AGGUGCGACCAUACCGUGUUGAAAAUUCUGCAUCCCGUCCGAUCUGCAAAGACAAGCAACACAGGGCCCAGUCAGUAGUGCGGUGGGUGACCACGUGCGAAUACUGUGGUGUUGCACUU